RNAcentral lists this ribosomal RNA (478 nucleotides) under uncultured bacterium. RNAcentral describes it as "bacterial SSU rRNA". It matches the Rfam family "Bacterial small subunit ribosomal RNA", at positions 69 to 526 of the family's 1533-position model. The record is from RNAcentral.
CCGGAGCUUGCUCCACCGGGAAAAGAGGAGUGGCGAACGGGUGAGUAACACGUGGGUAACCUGCCCAUCAGAAGGGGAUAACACUUGGAAACAGGUGCUAAUACCGUAUAACAAUCGAAACCGCAUGGUUUCGUUUUGAAAGGCGCUUUACGGUGCCGCUGAUGGAUGGACCCGCGGUGCAUUAGCUAGUUGGUGAGGUAACGGCUCACCAAGGCCACGAUGCAUAGCCGACCUGAGAGGGUGAUCGGCCACAUUGGGACUGAGACACGGCCCAAACUCCUACGGGAGGCAGCAGUAGGGAAUCUUCGGCAAUGGACGAAAGUCUGACCGAGCAACGCCGCGUGAGUGAAGAAGGUUUUCGGAUCGUAAAACUCUGUUGUUAGAGAAGAACAAGGGUGAGAGUAACUGUUCACCCCUUGACGGUAUCUAACCAGAAAGCCGAGCGGCUAACUACGUGCCAGCGAUGCCGCGGUAAUAC